AAGACUAUACUUUCAGGGAUCAUUUCUAUAGUUUAUUACUAGAGAAAUUUCUCUGCUCAUGUGGAGCACUGGCAACCUUGAGAAGGAGACAUAGCACUCUCCCCCGCAUGUGAAGCUGGUUCUACUGUUGCUUAUGCAACUGCCUUUUACCAUUGAUGACCAAGUUCUUCUCCUCCAUUGGAAGAGUGAGAGGCUGAGGAUGCAGACUGAGUUG
RNAcentral lists this small nucleolar RNA (214 nucleotides) under Sorex araneus (European shrew). RNAcentral describes it as "Small nucleolar RNA U3 (ENSSARG00000016351.1)". It matches the Rfam family "Small nucleolar RNA U3". Rfam says of the family: Small nucleolar RNAs (snoRNAs) are involved in the processing and modification of rRNA in the nucleolus. There are two main classes of snoRNAs: the box C/D class, and the box H/ACA class. U3 snoRNA is a member of the box C/D class. Lineage: Eukaryota; Metazoa; Chordata; Mammalia; Eulipotyphla; Soricidae. The record is from RNAcentral.